GUGUGUUUCCAGUUCCCAAGGACUUAUGGUAUCACCAUCAAUUAUAACUACAAUCUUGCGACUUGUUCGCGCAACCAACAUAACCUUAGGGCAACAGUCAUCCACACAAGAAUGGCAUGCACACAUUUGGUUUGACCGAUAUGACCAUGUCCAAAAAACACAAACACCUAAGACACCAUAUACCACACCCCCUUUCAUGUUGAGGUAGUAGGAAUCAGGAGAGGGUGACCACUACUGGAAGGCGGUCUUCUGCAGUAUCAACUCAGAGGCCACAUGGUGGUAGGGCUCCGAUGCCCUGCUAGUUGGGAUAUUACACCUACUCAAUAGACAAUAUAGUACUUGAUAUCGACCGACUGGUCACAGUUUAACCCAGACUUCCUACACUACCUAUAGGAGCCAGG
Pelobates cultripes (western spadefoot toad) is the source of this 401-nucleotide non-coding RNA. Lineage: Eukaryota; Metazoa; Chordata; Amphibia; Anura; Pelobatidae. The record is from the annotation of a GenBank genome assembly.